UGAAUACGAGAUGCUACGGCAUCGAAGCAGUCUAUGUCAUACUUCCAAGAAAAGCUUGCACUGUCAUAAACAAAUAAUGCCUGUACCAUAACCGACACAGGUGGGUAGGUAGUGUAUACUAAGGGGCGCGAGAUAACUCUCUCUAAGGAACUCGGCAAAAUGACUCCGUAACUUCGGGAGAAGGAGUGCCUUAUUUUAUAAGGUUGCAAUAACAAGAUCCAAGCAACUGUUUACCAAAAACACAGGUCUCCGCUAAGUCAUAAGACGAUGUAUGGGGGCUGACGCCUGCCCAGUGCCAGAAGGUUAAAGAAGUUGGUUAGCAUUAGCGAAGCUGAUAACUGAAGCCCUGGUGAACGGCGGCCGUAACAAUAACGGUCCUAAGGUAGCGAAAUUCCUUGUCGGGUAAGUUCCGACCCGCACGAAAGGCGUAAUGAUUUGGAUACUGUCUCGGAGAGGGGCUCGGUGAAAUAGACUUGUCUGUGAAGAUGCGGACUACCUGCACCAGGACAGAAAGACCCUAUGAAGCUUUACUGUAACUUGAGAUUGAAAUUGGACUUUAUUUGCGCAGUAUAGGUGGGAGACGUUGAAAAUAUUCUUGCGGGAAUAUUGGAGUCAUCAGUGAGAUACCACUCUUAUAAUGUUAGAUUUCUAACUUUGUAUCAUUAUCUGGUCAAAGAACAGUCUCAGGCGGGCAGUUUGACUGGGGCGGUCGCCUCCCAAACGGUAACGGAGGCGCACAAGGGUUUCCUCUGAACGUGUAGAAAUCGUAUCUAGAGUGUAAAGGCAUAAGGAAGCUUGACUGUGAGACCUACAAGUCGAGCAGGGACGAAAGUCGGUCUUAGUGAUCUGACGGUGCUGAGUGGAAAGGCCGUCACUCAACGGAUAAAAGUUACUCUAGGAUAACAGGCUGAUCUCCCCCAAGAGUUCACAUCGACGGGGAGGUUUGGCACCUUGAUGUCGGCUCAUCGCAUCCUGGGGCGGUAGUACGUCCCAAGGGUUGGGCUGUUCGCCCAUGAAAGCGGUACGCGAGCUGGGUUCAGAACGUCGUGAGACAGUUCGGUCCAUAUCCGGUGUAGGCGUUAGAAUAUUGAGAGGAGCCUUCUUUAGUACGAGAGGACCGAGAAGGACAUACCUCUGGUGUACCAGUUAUCGUGCCAACGGUAAACGCUGGGUAGCUAUGUAUGGAGAGGAUAACCGCUGAAAGCAUCUAAGUGGGAAGCCCACCUCAAGAUAAG
This 1235-nucleotide ribosomal RNA is filed under the name metagenome. RNAcentral's name for it is "bacterial LSU rRNA". It matches the Rfam family "Bacterial large subunit ribosomal RNA", at positions 1564 to 2808 of the family's 2925-position model. The record is from RNAcentral.